RNAcentral lists this ribosomal RNA (515 nucleotides) under Leptopelis sp. SS-2005. RNAcentral describes it as "partial 16S ribosomal RNA". It matches the Rfam family "Bacterial large subunit ribosomal RNA", at positions 1919 to 2606 of the family's 2925-position model. Lineage: Eukaryota; Metazoa; Chordata; Amphibia; Anura; Arthroleptidae. The record is from RNAcentral.
CCAAUUUAACGGCCGCGGUACCCUAACCGUGCGAAGGUAGCAUAAUCACUUGUUUCUUAAAUGGGGACUAGUAUCAACGGCAUCACGAAGACUACACUGUCUCCUCCUUAAAAUCAAUGAAACUAAUCCCCUCGUGAAGAAGCGAGGAUAUAAAUAUAAGACGAGAAGACCCCAUGGAGCUUUAAACGAACUUCAAUUGCUUCCCUCCCCACCAUAGAAAUUAAGCAUUAAUUGACGAUAGUUUUCGGUUGGGGUGACCGCGGAGUAAAACAAAACCUCCACAAUGAAUGUAAUAUACUAAUAAAAGAACCACAAUUCUAACAAUCAAAAAAUUGACAUAAAUUGACCCAAACACUUGAUCAAUGAACCAAGUUACCCUGGGGAUAACAGCGCAAUCCAUUUUAAGAGCCCCUAUCGACAAAUGGGUUUACGACCUCGAUGUUGGAUCAGGGUAUCCUAGUGGUGCAGCCGCUACUAAUGGUUCGUUUGUUCAACGAUUAAAACCCUAGUGAUCU